GGGUGCGAUAAUGCCAGCACUAAAUCACCGGAUCCCAUCAGAACUCCGAAGUUAAGCGUGCUUGGGGGCCAGAGUAGUACUAGGAUGGGUGACCCCCUGGGAAGUCCUCGUGUUGCACUCC
Molecule: ribosomal RNA, 121 nt
Organism: Musa acuminata AAA Group (dessert banana)
Lineage: Eukaryota; Viridiplantae; Streptophyta; Magnoliopsida; Zingiberales; Musaceae
Source: RefSeq, a predicted model, not a curated record